AACCCUUGUCCUUAGUUACCAGCACGUUAUGGUGGGCACUCUAAGGAGACUGCCGGUGGACAAACCGGAGGAAGGUGGGGAUGACGUCAAGUCCAUCAUGGCCUUACGGCCUGGGCUACACACGUGCUACAAUGGUCGGUACAAAGGGUUGCCAAGCCGCGAGGUGGAGCUAAUCCCAUAAAACCGAAUCCGUAGUCCGGAUCGCAGUCUGCAACUCGACUGCGUGAAGUCGGAAUCGCUAGUAAUCGUGAAUCAGAAUGUCACGGUGAAUACGUUCCCGGGCCUU
Molecule: ribosomal RNA, 286 nt
Filed under: uncultured Pseudomonas sp.
Lineage: Bacteria; Pseudomonadati; Pseudomonadota; Gammaproteobacteria; Pseudomonadales; Pseudomonadaceae
Description: partial 16S ribosomal RNA
Rfam family: Bacterial small subunit ribosomal RNA
Source: RNAcentral